GCCCGAGUAGCUCAGUCUGGAUAGAGCAUCGCACUCCUAAUGCGAGGGUCGCAGGUUCAAUUCCUGUCUCGGGCG
RNAcentral lists this transfer RNA (75 nucleotides) under Candidatus Pacearchaeota archaeon. RNAcentral's name for it is "tRNA-Arg". It matches the Rfam family "tRNA". Rfam says of the family: Transfer RNA (tRNA) molecules are approximately 80 nucleotides in length. Lineage: Archaea; Nanobdellati. The record is from RNAcentral.